Molecule: ribosomal RNA, 189 nt
Filed under: Aspergillus versicolor
Lineage: Eukaryota; Fungi; Ascomycota; Eurotiomycetes; Eurotiales; Aspergillaceae
Description: 5.8S ribosomal RNA
Rfam family: 5.8S ribosomal RNA (bases 3-156)
About the family: 5.8S ribosomal RNA (5.8S rRNA) is a component of the large subunit of the eukaryotic ribosome. It is transcribed by RNA polymerase I as part of the 45S precursor that also contains 18S and 28S rRNA.
Source: RNAcentral
AAAACUUUCAACAAUGGAUCUCUUGGUUCCGGCAUCGAUGAAGAACGCAGCGAACUGCGAUAAGUAAUGUGAAUUGCAGAAUUCAGUGAAUCAUCGAGUCUUUGAACGCACAUUGCGCCCCCUGGCAUUCCGGGGGGCAUGCCUGUCCGAGCGUCAUUGCUGCCCAUCAAGCCCGGCUUGUGUGUUGGG